CGCUUCGAUGGCCUGAUGGUUAGAACGUCCGUCUCGGAUACGGGAGGUCGUGGGUUCGAUCCCCGGCCGAGUGA
Molecule: non-coding RNA, 74 nt
Organism: Potamilus streckersoni
Lineage: Eukaryota; Metazoa; Mollusca; Bivalvia; Unionida; Unionidae
Source: the annotation of a GenBank genome assembly